GAGUUUUUGCAGAUUUUCAAAUAAAACUCAGAGAUUCCUUUGUAUGACUCUCUCAUAUCUCUCUUUUGUGGUAUUUCUGGAUCCUUACCAAGGAAAUGAUGGUAUAUGCCUUCUCUCAAAAUAUGUGGUAUUUGUGGUAUAAGGCAUAGUGACAUUGCCUUCUCUCUCACCCUACUUUAAUAAGGCUUUAAUAUCUGGAGCUCAUAGGUGGGAGAUAAGGUAUACAUACUUACAAGACAUUUAUUGUAUAGUCAAACCAUGGAUCCAAAGAAACAAAUCAAUAAGCCAAAUCAAGAUGUGCUUGUGUGGCGAAUGAAUGGUGUAUAGUGAUGAUGGUGAUAACAAUGGUGAAAGUCUAAUUCUACUUUUGCUCUUAUGAGGGGAUACAUACCUUCCUUGCUUUUUGAAACUUUAUGAGGAGAAUGAGAUGCUCUUCUUUUUCUUUCCUCUCAGGUGGGUAUCUUGUACCCCUAAUUCUACUGUCGGACACUUGUCCAUUUUUACCACUCGUCUCACUUUUUCUUUCUUUCGAGGUUCCGGGCACUUGCCCCUUUUUAUUUCCUCGUUUAUUAUUAUUUUUUUUUCUUUUCUUCUCUCUUCUUUUCUUCUUUUUUUUCAGAGCACUCAUCUCCUGAAAUAAUGUAGCAAGUGGUAGUAACCAAAAUAAUUGGAGCAUUUAUUUCACAGGGAAUAACAGGGAUAGGAAAAUGUUUUUGGCUAUUCUCUCCCGGAUUAGGAGUAGAAUGAUUUUGGGUGAAACUGGAGAUGGAAAUGGAUGGAUAUAUGUGGAUGGUACUUCCGAAGUAGAAGUAGCAUAUAUGAGUGAACGUGCAAGUGAAUCUUGAUUUAACCACAUGACAAGCUCUUAAGGGUCUACACAGCUUGACCACACUCAAUGCUCAUAAGCAGUAAAUAAAUAUGUGGCUCAAAGUCUAGCAAGCAUGUAUAUAUGGCUGUGGUAGGAAUUUAAACUUUCAUCAUACAGGAACUCAUCAUGCAAUAUUUUAAAGAUUUUCAAAGAUAAAAUUCUCCAGAAUUCUAGCAUCUCUAGGAAUAGAUAAACAGCAGCUCAACCUUCCCAUAUCAUAUCCGUUAACAACUUAGAUUUCAGAUCAAGUUUUCAUCCCACAAGUUUAGAUCUAGAGCAAGCUUUAAAUUAUAACAGUUAUGUCUAAACUUGAGAGAGAACUUCAAAUUUGCAAAUUAGGCAGAGCAACUAUUUAUCAUAUCCAUGCUAGAGUUUUAUUAUUAAGAUUCAGAUUAGCAUAGCCACUUUAUUUAUUUAUUAAACACACUAAGCAAAAGAUAUAUAUAUAAGCACAAAAUCUUUAUUUGGUUUUUCAUAGUUUAUGUAUUUUAAUAUUCUAAUAUAAGUAUAAAGAUAGGUAGAAAUACUUAGCGAGAUAAGUGGGGGUGCUCUCCCCCAAGCUGAAUUUUGACGUAAUUUCUCUUGAUGUAGCUAGCAGGUGGCAGAGGUGUAUUUGAAAGUCAGCAGCAUUCUGACAGCGAUUAGAAUGUCCUCCGUCUGCUAGUUUUCUUGAUUCUUAAAUUCUGUGGAGCUCAAAUAGACAACAAAGCUUGUGAAACUAAUUAAGUGUUAGCAUAAAUAUCUAGGCCUUGUUUACUUCCCAGAAAAUUUUGCAAAAUUUUUCACAUUCCCCGUCACAUCGAAUCUUUAGACGCAUGCAUGGAGCAUUAAAUAUAGACGAAAAUAAAAACUAAUUGCACAGUUUGGUCGAAAUUGACGAGACGAAUCUUUUGAGCCUACUUAGUCCAUGAUUGGACAAUAUUUGUCAAAUACAAACGAAAAUGCUACAGUGUCCAUUUCCCAAAAUUUUUCGGAACUAAACAAGGCCCUAGCCUUCAUCACGUUGAGCUUCCUCAAUAAAUAUUACUCCCUGUUUUUAUAUUUUUAUUUUAUAAAGUAGAAAAGAAAUAUUUAUUUUAUUUUUAUGCCACCACAGUGAAGGUACUUAUGGGUUUUACGCCACUCGUAUACUCACAUGGGGCUUAGUAUUUUUUAACAUUUUUAUUUUCUUUUCAAGAUAGCAUGAUUAACUAAUAAUCUAUUUAAGGAAAGUAAAUAAUUAAAGGGAAAAGGGAAUGCAGAAAGGAUAAAUAUGGAUAACUACCAAUCUUACCUUUCGGCCAGGGUUCAAUGUUUUAAGUCUUCUUGACAAGACUUCUCACCGUGUUCAUUCUUCAGGUGCGUCAUUUGAUUCAGGUGCGGACCUUGACGUCUGCACCUUUUAAUACGGUGUCACCUAUGUUCUUUGUUUGCCCAGCUGUUCGAAGUGCGGUGUUAGCAGUAUCUUGCUCAGUGUGUUUGUGCUCGUAGUGUAUCUGCUCAUAGAGACAAGGCAGAGAUCAAGUGCAUGGGCCCUGUUGGUGGAAAACACCAACAGAACCAAAAGUGUAUUUGUUCUUCUCUAACCUUAAGCAUAGUGAGCAAGACAAGUUGAUGGAUGAUAAGUUCAUGAGUAUAGCACUUAUAACAAUUGUCAGAUCAGAUCACUCAACCUUAUGGAAAGAUAAUCUAUCUAUGUAUAUGUCUUUUUCUUUAUAUCUCUCAAUGAUUGAAUGUGUAACAUUUUAGCUCAUAUGAUUAGGAGUGUGGGAUCAUGGAGGUAGUACUAAGAACAAGGAUUAAAGGACUAAACAUGUUGAAUCAGUUGGGUUGGUUAAUCUAGAGUUGUAAAUCAUACACGUUUGUCUCUUUUAUUUAUAUGAAUGCCAGAACCAAGGAGAAGCUUAUAAAAGUGAUAGUCAAGUACCUUAAGAUGUUACCUUGCUCGAAGAGUGAUGGUACAGUAUCAUCUUGUGGAAGCUUUCCUUUCUUAGCGGUUGUGCGUCUUGUUUAUGUACUUUGUCUCCUUCCAUGGAUCAUCUCUGUAUGGUGAAUGAGCUAUGUCCUUCUUGUGCGAAUUGUUAAACUUCAUGUGUUGCUCUCUUCAUCUCUGAUGUGAGUUUAUCUCAGGACUUCCCAAAUUGAUAUUGAAAGUUUUUCUGCAGGGGUUAGUCCGACAAAAUAUACCAAUAUCUACUCAAGCAGUUUUUUAGUUCAAUAACCAAACUAGACGCCAUGUCUAAUCAGAUUAAGGAAGGCUAUUUAACCUAAGCACCAUGCUUAAUUUAAAUGCCAAUGGAAGUAUGGCGAGUACUUCCAAACCAACACUUGCUAGUAAAUAGACAAAGGUAGCAUGACAGCGUUUAUAGAGAUCUACUCAAGUGGAGAUGAAGUAGUGUGAUUAGUAUUUAACAAAUUGAGCAUGUCUCAAAGGUAGGGACAACCAGCAUAGCAACAUGGCAAAGGAUGUUUUUAUGUAAAGUACUCCCCCAAGCUUGAAUUUUGCAAAAUUCAAGUUUGGAUGAAUUUAAUUCAAUGUUGUAUGAUGAUUGGUUGGACAUACCUUGUGCUUGUCAUUCAUCCGAUCUUCUUGCUCCAAUCUUAGAAAGGUUAGUGACAAGAAUACCCGAAGGAAUAUUUUUUUUUACAAUUAUCCUUAUAUGCUUAAUACACAAGGUAAUGUUGCAAAUAAUUAAAGGCUCAUGUUACGAUCUGAUCAAUGCUUAUUUUAAGACACUAAGCUUGUCCUUGGGAAACCAUCAGUUUAUGUUGGCGAAGUGGUUUCCCCUCCGACGCCAACCUAUUUCUAGAUCAACUCAACGAGAUCUGCAAUAUUUAUUAUAGACAUAUGCAUCGACAACCGCCCUUUUAAAGUUUUUAUAAAUAGAAAGGAAGAGGGGGUUGGAGAUCUCAAGUGUGGUGAUGUCGGAGAGACCAAUAGAUUGGGAAGAUGUUGCAUAUGAGCAUGGAGUAAACAAAGUGGCUAUGAAAUAAAUUCCAUGCUCAUUAAUGUUAUCUUCGUCUCCAAUCUGAAUGUUCAGAGUUUCUCCUAGAUUGGUCUCACCUAUGUCCUCUUCUGUAGUUGGAUGAAUCUCAUCUUCAAAAGGAGUCAAGAACUCACCAUUUGAAAUUGAGCCAAAGUCAGAACCCAUUAAGGCUUCUUCCUUAUCCAUCCAUUCUACACAUUCUAGCCAUUUAGAACUUGUGAUCAAAAUAGGGGAGGUGUUAGAAUUUUCUAUAUGGCUUAGCUCUCCUUCACUUGAUAUGUCAUCCUCGACUUCUUCAUGAUAGGAACCAGGACAUUCUCUAAGAGAAACAUUAUUGCAAUGAUUUGAAUUAUCCCUGCUUGAAGGUCUCUUAUAAAACCAGAAGUCUAAACCAUCAGCAUCUAAAAGAUUUAAGGUCGGAAUUCCUUCCUCCCUUGGAGAAUUUUGGGGUAUUGAAGGUUUAGGAUCGAUAGCUAAAGUUCGGGAUUGAAGUGGUUGUGAUCUGGCUAUCGAAACUUCUUCUUCUUGUCUAGGAACUGGUUCUUUCUCUUUCUCAGGGAUAUAAAAGCUAGGAGACUUUCCGCUCAUUAAAUCAAUCAAAUUCCAAGCUUCACUAGCGGAUAGGUGGUGGAAGGAUCCUCCAGAGGCCGCAUGAAGGGUUUGCUUAUUUUCCCUACUAAGGCCCUCAAAAAAGUGAAUUAGAAGAACUUCUUCUGGAAUAGAAAGUUUUGGGCCAGUGAGAGUAAGGUUAAUAAAGCGGUCCCAUGAUUUGCCAAGAGAUUCUUCUUCCAGUUGUCUAAAAGAAAGAAUCUCACGCCGAAGUUCCACCACUUUGGAGAUUGGAAAACAUUUAGAAAGAAAACUACUAUAUAACUCCUUCCAAUCUCCAUGAACACUCCCUACUUUGAGUUUAUACCAAUGUCUAGCUUUUCCCGUUAAAGAGAACGGAAAGAGCUUCCAUUUAAGGGUCUCAUCGGACAUGCCUUCUAUGCGAAGGAGGUCACAGACUCGAUAAAACUCUCUUAGGUGUGUGUAUGGGUUUUCCUCACCUUCUCCUGAGAAAGGUUGUUUUUGAAUAAAUUCUAUGUAUUCGGGGUCUAUCUCAAAACUAGAUGCUAUGAUAGGCUUUGAAGAUUUUGGUGGUUCGAGAUGUGUGCCCAUAGGUCUAUGAAAUUCAUAGAUAGACAUGUUUGAAUUCAUAAUAGACCAGAGAUCAAGGAUUAGAUAAGAAGAAAGAAUAGCAGAGAUGAGGCAAAGGAUAAAAGGAAAAUAUUUUUAUUAUUAUUUUUUUUAUAAAAUGAUUAAACUAGUUCGUAGUCAACUCAGCAACCGUUUCCCCGGCAACGGCGCCAAAAAUGCUUGUUGACACUUGCUAACACCACUUGAAUACUAGGUUGUCAUCCCCAGCAUGGCACUAGAGUGUACUAUGGUAUUUAUACGCACACAGAUAAUCCGCAAGCGCACGGAUACCGUUGAAGCUUUUACCCGGUUAAAGAUUUUAUCGUAUCCACAGGGAAACGGGAGAACUGAUCUACGCUCUAACUUAACCAAGAUAAGUAAAUAGGUGUGAAUAGGAAAGAUGGUAGAAUCGAAUAAGAACAAUAUUAAAGGUAAGAUAACAGUGAGUGAUAAUAUGGGAAUAGAGAGUAGAGCAAUUCUAGUAUAUGGGCGAUGGUAGCAGAAUAGAGAGGAUAACUAUGGUUUCUCUACUUCAAAGGGGUAUGUCUAUGUCUGGGACGAACCGCGUGAUAAGAGUACACCACAAAGGAUGCUUAUCCAUAGGCCGAUAAACCCUACCCGUCCUGCUAACGAGAGGUGGACUACAGGGGACCAACGUAACUGUCACCUACGCGGCCUACCACACGAUCCAGCUAGCCAGGGGAUAUCCACAAGUAAUCUAGGUCUAAGCACCACGCUUACACCUAUACUACAACUCUAACCUAUAGGGUCCUAUAGAUUAGAAGUACUCAAAAGAGUUGUGAACCAGAACAUACAUGAUUAGUAAUUGCAUAAUGAAUUAGAAGUAGAUUACCAGAGUCAUCCCAUGAGCAAGCUUGAUUAGAGCUUGAUCAUGACGAAGUACAACCGGAGGAAGAACCGACAGGCCGGCCUCUCCUCUAAUCCUCCUUCGCUCUCCAUCUCGCUACUAUCUAGAUCUACUCUAGUUUAGAGAAGAGAGGAGAGCUCUCAUCUCUAAACCCUAGGUUUUGCUCUGUCUAUGAAUAAUGAAUAAUGAUCAAGGGGUGCCUCUUCUAGGGGCCAGGGGGUCUACUUUUAUAGUCCCCUCAAGUGAACCUGGGCCGUCGGAUCAAACCGACAUUGAUUGAACGGUUAUUCUUGAUCCUUUAGGUCGGUGGAGCAUAAUCCGCGAGAUUGAGCAUGAUUGGCCGAAAAAGGUGGGCGGGCGCCCUAAGGACUUGGGCGGGCGCCCUGUCCCUGACUCCGUUCGGUCUCCGCUUCCUUCCCGUGGCUUCUGGAGUCUUCUAGAUGUAAUAUAAUUGCGCGGCACGUUGAUAUCUCUAUGUAAUCCCGACGUGUGGGUCUUUCUUCCUUAUUUCCUGAUAAUCCCCUGCAGAAAUAGACAAACACCAAAACUCGUGGAAUUCUGUCAGAUAAAACCCUAAGUCUUGAUGUUGAUUUCAUUUGGAUCCUUUUCUUUGUUUAUUUGAUAGUUAAAUUUGAUACUUAAGGACCGUCAACAAACUCCCCCAAGCUUACCUCUUGCUCGUCCCUGAGCAAGGAUAGACUCAGCAAUGGAUCAGAAGUUGUUGCAAUAUCUUAAAAAUUUGACGGUAGACAUGCUUUUUAAAUAAGUUCUCAUCUCUGAGUUAGAGUAAACUGUCAAGAACUAAAACUUACUUACUUUACCUUUCACCAUGGGACUUGUAACCGUCACUUCUGUCUUGAGUAGUUAAAAGAUAGAACAGUCUAGCCAAGUGCCAUGUCUCUUAUUCUUGAUCACCUAUAGCUCUGGAGUUUUUGCAGAUUUUCAAAUAAAACUCAGAGAUUCCUUUGUAUGACUCUCUCAUAUCUCUCUUUUGUGGUAUUUCUGGAUCCUUACCAAGGCAGUGAUGGUAUAUGCCUUCUCUCAAAAUAUGUGGUAUUUGUGGUAUAAGGCAUAGUGACAUUGCCUUCUCUCUCACCCUACUCUAAUAAGGCUUUAAUAUCUGGAGCUCAUAGGUGGGAGAUAAGGUAUACAUACUUACAAGACAUUUAUUGUAUAGUCAAACCAUGGAUCCAAAGAAACAAAUCAAUAAGCCAAAUCAAGAUGUGCAUGUGUGGCGAAUGAAUGGUGUAUAGUGAUGAUGGUGAUAACAAUGGUGAAAGUCUAAUUCUACUUUUGCUCUUAUGAGGGGAUACAUACAUUUCCUUUCUUUUUGAAACUUUAUGAGGAGAAUGAGAUGCUCUUCUUUUUCUUUCCUCUCAGGUGGGUAUCUUGUACCCCUAAUUCUACUGUCGGACACUUGUCCAUUUUUACCACUCGUCUCACUUUUUCUUUCUUUCGAGGUUCCGGGCACUUGCCCCUUUUUAUUUCCUCGUUUAUUAUUAUUUUUUUCUUUUCUUCUCUCUUGUUUUCUUCUUUUUUUUUCAGAGCACUCAUCUCCUAAAAUAAUGUAGCAAGUGGUAGUAACCAAAAUAACUGGAGCAUUUAUUUCACAGGGAAUAACAGGGAUAGGAAAAUGUUUUUGGCUAUUCUCUCCCGGAUUAGGAGUAGAAUGAUUUUGGGUGAAACUGGAGAUGGAAAUGGAUGGAUAUAUGUGGAUGGUACUUCCGAAGUAGAAGUAGCAUAUAUGAGUGAACGUGCAAGUGAAUCUUGAUUUAACCACAAGACAAGCUCCUAAGGGUCUACACAGCUUGACCACACUCAAUGCUCAUAAGCAGUAAAUAAAUGUGUGGCUCAAAGUCUAGCAAGCAUGUAUAUAUGGCUGUGGUAGGAAUUUAAACUUUCAUCAUACAGGAACUCAUCAUGCAAUAUUUUAAAGAUUUUCAAAGAUAAAAUUCUCCAGAAUUCUAGCAUCUCUAGGAAUAGAUAAACAGCAGCUCAACCUUCCCAUAUCAUAUCUGUUAACAACUUAGAUUUCAGAUCAAGUUUUCAUCCCACAAGUUUAGAUCUAGAGCAAGCUUUAAAUUAUAACAGUUAUGUCUAAACUUGAGAGAGAACUUCAAAUUUGCAAAUUAGGCAGAGCAACUAUUUAUCAUAUCCAUGCUAGAGUUUUAUUAUUAAGAUUCAGAUUAGCAUAGCCACUUUAUUUAUUUAUUAAACACACUAAGCAAAAGAUAUAUAUAUAAGCACAAAAUCUUUAUUUGGUUUUCAUAGUUUAUGUAUUUUAAUAUUCUAAUAUAAGUAUAAAGAUAGGUAGAAAUACUUAGCGAGAUAAAUGGGGGUGCUCUCCCCCAAGCUGAAUUUUGACGUAAUUUCUCUUGAUGUAGCUAGCAGGUGGCAGAGGUGUAUUUGAAAGUCAGCAGCAUUCUGACAGCGAUUAGAAUGUCCUCCGUCUGCUAGUUUUCUUGAUUCUUAAAUUCUGUGGAGUUCAAAUAGACAACAAAGCUUGUGGAACUAAUUAAGUGUUAGCAUAAAUAUCUAGCCUUCAUCACGUUGAGCUUCCUCAAUAAAUAUUACUCCCUGUUUUUAUAUUUUUAUUUUAUAAAGUAGAAAAGAAAUAUUUAUUUUAUUUUUAUGCCACCACAGUGAAGGUACUUAUGGGUUUUAUGCCACUCGUAUACUCACAUGGGGCUUAGUAUUUUUUAACAUUUUUAUUUUCUUUUCAAGAUAGCAUGAUUAACUAAUAAUCUAUUUAAGGAAAGUAAAUAAUUAAAGGGAAAAGGGAAUGCAGAAAGGAUAAAUAUGGAUAACUACCAAUCUUACCUUUCGGCGAGGGUUCAAUGUUUUAAGUCUUCUUGACAAGACUUCUCACCGUGUUCAUUCUUCAGGUGCGUCAUUUGAUUCAGGUGCGGACCUUGACGUCUGCACCUUUUAAUACGGUGUCACCUAUGUUCUUCGUUUGCCCAGCAGUUCGAAGUGCGGUGUUAGCAGUAUCUUGCUCAGUGUGUUUGUGCUCGUAGUGUACCUGCUCAUAGAGACAAGGCAGAGAUCAAGUGCAUGGGCCCUGUUGGUGGAAAACACCAACAGAACCAAAAGUGUAUUUGUUCUUCUCUAACCUUAAGCAUAGUGAGCAAGACAAGUUGAUGGAUGAUAAGUUCAUGAGUAUAGCACUUAUAACAUUUGUCAGAUCAGAUCACUCAACCUUAUGGAAAGAUAAUCUAUCUAUGUAUAUGUCUUUUUCUUUAUAUCUCUCAAUGAUUGAAUGUGUAACAUUUUAGCUCAUAUGAUUAGGAGUGUGGGAUCAUGGAGGUAGUACUAAGAACAAGGAUUAAAGGACUAAACAUGUUGAAUCAGUUGGGUUGGUUAAUCUAGAGUUGUAAAUCAUACACGUUUGUCUCUUUUAUUUAUAUGAAUGCCAGAACCAAGGAGAAGCUUAUAAAAGUGAAAGUCAAGUACCUUAAGAUGUUACCUUGCUCGAAGAGUGAUGGUACAGUAUCAUCUUGUGGAAGCUUUCCUUUCUUAGCGGUUGUGCGUCUUGUUUAUGUACUUUGUCUCCUUCCAUGGAUCAUCUCUGUAUGGUGAAUGAGCUAUGUCCUUCUUGUGCAAAUUGUUAAACUUCAUGUGUUGCUCUCUUCAUCUCUGAUGUGAGUUUAUCUCAGGACUUCCCAAAUUGAUAUUGAAAGUUUUUCUGCAGGGGUUAGUCCGACAAAAUAUACCAAUAUCUACUCAAGUAGUUUUUUAGUUCAAUAACCAAACUAGACUCCAUG
Molecule: long non-coding RNA, 9645 nt
Filed under: Sorghum bicolor (sorghum)
Lineage: Eukaryota; Viridiplantae; Streptophyta; Magnoliopsida; Poales; Poaceae
Description: long non-coding RNA (SBIC_LNC005252)
Source: RNAcentral